CACACUCCCUUCCACACUCACCCGCCGGCCUCCACUCCAAACCACACCAUCUCACCAUUAUUUUUCCAACAAGAUCACCGGAAAAAUAUUUAGGAACUCCAAAGCAUCUUCAUCAUUUUAUUUAAGUGUGCAGCUUCCUUUUCUCCACCGAAGAGCCCCAAAUGAAGUUUCUGCUAGUUUUGUCUAAAGCAUCAAUAAUUUUCCCAAGGAGCAUGACACCUUGCAUCACACAAGCAAAUUAUUAUGGUUGCUUGUGCGGAUUAUGAGCUUCCUUUAUAGGGCAUUGAUGGCUAGGACUAUUACUGCUGGAAUUCAGCAUCAAGUGUGGCUAUGGUACAGACUGUUACUGUUGGAGUUCAACAUCAGGUACAACUAGGAAGUGCAGACUGUUACUAUUGGAGAUCAACAUCUGGUGCAAGUUGUUA
This is a long non-coding RNA of Quercus lobata, 425 nucleotides long. RefSeq lists it as uncharacterized. The record is from RefSeq and is a predicted model, not a curated record. The transcript has 3 exons. Lineage: Eukaryota; Viridiplantae; Streptophyta; Magnoliopsida; Fagales; Fagaceae.